Molecule: ribosomal RNA, 497 nt
Filed under: uncultured bacterium
Lineage: Bacteria
Description: partial 16S ribosomal RNA
Rfam family: Bacterial small subunit ribosomal RNA
Source: RNAcentral
GAUGAACGCCGGCGGCGUGCCUAAUACAUGCAAGUCGAGCGAACGGACGAGAAGCUUGCUUCUCUGAUGUUAGCGGCGGACGGGUGAGUAACACGUGGAUAACCUACCUAUAAGACUGGGAUAACUUCGGGAAACCGGAGCUAAUACCGGAUGAUAUUUUGAACCGCAUGGUUCAAAAGUGAAAGACGGUCUCGCUGUCACUUAUAGAUGGAUCCGCGCUGCAUUAGCUAGUUGGUAAGGUAACGGCUUACCAAGGCAACGAUGCAUAGCCGACCUGAGAGGGUGAUAGGCCACACUGGAACUGAGACACGGUCCAGACUCCUACGGGAGGCAGCAGUAGGGAAUCUUCCGCAAUGGGCGAAAGCCUGACGGAGCAACGCCGCGUGAGUGAUGAAGGUCUUCGGAUCGUAAAACUCUGUUAUUAGGGAAGAACAUAUGUGUAAGUAACUGUGCACAUCUUGACGGUACCUAAUCAGAAAGCCACGGCUAACUACGUG